UGGUUCUGGCAUCGAUGAAGAACGCAGCGAAAUGCGAUAAGUAAUGCGAAUUGCAGAAUUCCAGUGAGUCAUCGAAUCUUUGAACGCACAUUGCGCCCUUUGGUAUUCCGAAGGGCAUGCCUGUUCGAGCGUCAUUAUCACCCCUCAAGCCCCCUCGGGUUUGGUCUUGGACGGUUUGGUCGCGGUGACGCGACCCCUCCUAAAAUCAAUGACGGCGGACCCUGACGACCCCCGGUACACUGAGCUUCCCUUAACCGGAGCACGUACCGUUGUGGGUGUAGACGGGACCCCGGUCUUCUUCCCUCUCGGGGGAAAAAUUUCCAAUGGUUGACCUCGGAUCAGGUAGGGAUACCCGCUGA
This 359-nucleotide unclassified non-coding RNA is filed under the name uncultured fungus. Its description in RNAcentral is "partial contains 5.8S ribosomal RNA and internal transcribed spacer 2". The stretch from base 1 to 134 matches the Rfam family "5.8S ribosomal RNA", at positions 22 to 154 of the family's 154-position model. Lineage: Eukaryota; Fungi. The record is from RNAcentral.